Molecule: long non-coding RNA, 2108 nt
Filed under: Anthonomus grandis grandis
Lineage: Eukaryota; Metazoa; Arthropoda; Insecta; Coleoptera; Curculionidae
Description: uncharacterized LOC126738444
Source: RNAcentral
UUAAGCAUUACCACUAAUACAUGCUUAUCAGCCAUGACUGUGAACACUACAGUUACACUACUUUACGUAUAUGCCUAUUUAAUGUAUCAUCAUUUUAGAACUGUGAAGUAAUCCAAAUGUGAAUUUUUUAAGUUGCAAACAGAAAUGAGUCGGAAAACAUGGAUGUUAAUACCACAGAUAAUUUGAGUAACAAGUCUGAUGGUUCACUAGUGGUUCUAAGGAAUGUAGAAGUUCCACUCUUUGGAGCUUCAAGUAAUUCAAAUGUGACUCUCGAAGGUGACGAUUUGGACGAUCAUGAUAGCGACGAUUCUUUGAAAGAUCGGGAUUAUUCAUUACGACAGUGGUUCAUCUGUCGCAGAGGAGUUGGAUAAUCUGCCUGCAACACCAGCUAAUCUAAACCCAAGUAUUUCGAUGUCAGAGAAUACUCAAAAAAGAAAGGUCAAACAAAAAACUCUUAUUAAACAAAGUGGGCGUAAAAUGAUGCGCCACAAAGAAAAUUGGCAAUCAUCAAUCCGGAAAGAGCGGUAUGCUAGUGGCCAAGCCUAUACCAGUAAGAAAGGCAAAGAAGUAUUAGCAAGACAAAUGAAAGAUGCAUGCAAAUGUUUUGAAAAGAUUUCAAAAGAUGAGAGGCAAAAUAUUUUUGAAACUUACUGGAGCAAGGAAAAGUCCGUGGAUACUAAACGACAAUACAUUCGUUCAUGCAUUGAAGUCAAAAAUGCUCAACGUAAUAGAAAGUUUGCAAGCUAAUGUUUUUGAACAUUAGCAAUAUCUAAUACAGUAGUUGUUAAUACUUUAAAAAAAAGUCAGGAGGGAGGUAUGGUGGAAGAAGAUAAACGGGGUAAACAUAUUCCGGGCAAUAAAACACCUGAAAAUAUACGCCUGCAUGUUAAACAACACAUCGAGCGCAUACCAUCCUAUGAGAGUCAUUACUCUAGAGAACGGACUGCAAAGAAAUAUCUGGGUUCCGAUCUUACACUGGAAAAAUUAUACCAGCUUUAUCUGGAGUGGUGUACAGAUCAUGACAUUUCAAAGGAAUUGGUUGCCAAAAAAUUGUUUUAUUCAAAGGUUUUCAACACAGAAUAUAAUUUAUCUUUUAAGUCACCAGAAAAUGACACAUGUGAUGAUUGUGAUACCUUAAUUGCAAAAAUUACAUGAAGCAAAUCGGAAACUGACAAAAAUCAAUUGCAGAUUCAACAUGACGCUCACAUACAGGAAUCGAAAAUUCGGUACCAUCUAAAGCAUGAUGACAUAAUCUACAACGCAACUACAGGUCUGGCGCAUAAUAUGAUGAGGGAUGAAACUAAGGCUGCUCGAGGUGCUAACGAGGUGGGAUCAGCUUUAAUUAAAUGGGUGAUACAAAAUAUCGGAGAUACCAAAGAAUUGACCAUAUGGUCCGAUAAUUGCUAUGGGCAAAAUAAAAACUUAUCAGUAGUAAUGGCACUUUUUUGGAUCAUUGGAAAGUAUCCACAAGUUGAGGUAAUUAAUCAUAAAUUUUUAUUGAAAGGCCACACCCAUAUGGAGGCAGAUACAGUGCAUACUGUUAUUGAAAGGAAGAGAAAGAAUUUAUUACGUCUUAAAGAAAUUAUGACUCCGUGGGACUGGCAGCAAUUCAUUAGGCAAUGCUCCCCAAAAUUCAUUGUAGAAAAUAUGGAAGUGCAAGAUUUUUUUAACUUGGAAGAACUUUACGGGACUCUCAAAAACUCACCAUUUAUCGCCAGAAAAAUCGACACAGACAAACAUGCUGUCCUAAUCUCAAAUGCAGUACAACUUCAAGUGAGAAAGGGUGAGAUUGGAAUUUUGUACUUUAAGACAAAGUUUGAGGAUGAUUUCCGAAAAGUAAAUCUUAAAAAAAAUGCAAGAUCAUUGGACGUAAAUCUACCAGAAAAACUUCAACCUGUUACUGAGAGAGGAAACGAUAUCACUGAACAGAAGUACAAGGACCUUUUAUCAUUGCUCCCAUUUACCAACUCUUACUGUCAUGAUUUCUAUAAGAAUCUUAGGCAUAACAAACUCGACAAUAACGAUUACCCUAGUACUGACAAAGACUAACUGUUGUCCGCAUACUGAUAAUGUAAUAUUAACUAAUUCAAAAUAAAGAUUUUGUUUUA